This 415-nucleotide long non-coding RNA is filed under the name Pandoravirus dulcis. Its description in RNAcentral is "putative ncRNA". The record is from RNAcentral.
CGCCAACACGCCAAACACCUCGGGGCGAGAGAGCGCGUGGUCGACCCCCGCGAGGUCGCCCGCCGUGCACACUGCCGCCAGCGUGGCCAGGCGGUACUUGCGCCUGUGCAGCGCAUGCUCGCCCACGACGUGAAAUCGGCGCCAGGCCAACAGGCACGCGCCCAGGGACUGAUCGUCGAGGAAGCGGUCGACCACGCGCGCAAGCACUUCAUUCGGGACGAGGUCGAUCGGCGGCCGUUCCGCCAUUGUCGGCUGUUGUCGUUGUUGGUUGUCGGCGACCACAACAGAGGUGGCCAUGCUCGGGUGACUCGGGCUGGGAAAGGAUCAAAUCGCGCCGCCUCUCUUUUUUUUUUACUUUUUUCGGCGGCUCGCUUUCCAUGUCUUGUGUUUUUUUUUCGAAUAAAAGAACAAGAAC